This 545-nucleotide ribosomal RNA is filed under the name uncultured bacterium. Its description in RNAcentral is "bacterial SSU rRNA". It matches the Rfam family "Bacterial small subunit ribosomal RNA", at positions 960 to 1509 of the family's 1533-position model. The record is from RNAcentral.
CGACGAAAACCUUACCCACCUUUGACAUGUACGGAACUUGCCAGAGAUGGCUUGGUGCUCGAAAGAGAGCCGUAACACAGGUGCUGCAUGGCUGUCGUCAGCUCGUGUCGUGAGAUGUUGGGUUAAGUCCCGCAACGAGCGCAACCCUUGCCAUUAGUUGCUACGAAAGGGCACUCUAAUGGGACUGCCGGUGAUAAACCGGAGGAAGGUGGGGAUGACGUCAAGUCCUCAUGGCCCUUAUAGGUGGGGCUACACACGUCAUACAAUGGCUGGUACAAAGGGUUGCCAACCCGCGAGGGGGAGCUAAUCCCAUAAAACCAGUCGUAGUCCGGAUCGCAGUCUGCAACUCGACUGCGUGAAGUCGGAAUCGCUAGUAAUCGUGGAUCAGAAUGUCACGGUGAAUACGUUCCCGGGUCUUGUACACACCGCCCGUCACACCAUGGGAGCGGGUUCUGCCAGAAGUAGUUAGCCUAACCGCAAGGAGGGCGAUUACCACGGCAGGGUUCGUGACUGGGGUGAAGUCGUAACAAGGUAGGCGUAGAUGA